RNAcentral lists this ribosomal RNA (406 nucleotides) under uncultured fungus. RNAcentral's name for it is "SSU rRNA". It matches the Rfam family "Eukaryotic small subunit ribosomal RNA", at positions 826 to 1228 of the family's 1831-position model. Lineage: Eukaryota; Fungi. The record is from RNAcentral.
CGGCAUGGUUCUAUUUUGUUGGUUUCUAGGAUCACCGUAAUGAUUAAUAGGGAUAGUUGGGGGCAUUAGUAUUCAAUUGUCAGAGGUGAAAUUCUUGGAUUUAUUGAAGACUAACUUCUGCGAAAGCAUUUGCCAAGGAUGUUUUCAUUAAUCAAGAACGAAAGUUAGGGGAUCGAAGACGAUCAGAUACCGUCGUAGUCUUAACCAUAAACUAUGCCGACUAGGGAUCGGACGAUGUUAAUUUUUUAAUGACUCGUUCGGCGCCUUACGGGAAACCAAAGUGUUUGGGUUCCGGGGGGAGUAUGGUCGCAAGGCUGAAACUUAAAGGAAUUGACGGAAGGGCACCACCAGGGGUGGAGCCUGCGGCUUAAUUUGACUCAACACGGGGAAACUCACCAGGUCCAGA